UACGUAGGGUGCAGGCGUUAAUCGGAAUUACUGGGCGUAAAGCGUGCGCAGGCGGUCUUUUAAGUCAGAUGUGAAAUCCCCGGGCUUAACCUGGGAACUGCGUUUGAAACUGGAAGGCUAGAGUGUGGCAGAGGGGGGUGGAAUUCCACGUGUAGCAGUGAAAUGCGUAGAUAUGUGGAGGAACACCGAUGGCGAAGGCAGCCCCCUGGGAUGUGACUGACGCUCAUGUACGAAAGCGUGGGGAGCAAACAGG
This 253-nucleotide ribosomal RNA is filed under the name uncultured bacterium. RNAcentral describes it as "partial 16S ribosomal RNA". It matches the Rfam family "Bacterial small subunit ribosomal RNA", at positions 524 to 776 of the family's 1533-position model. The record is from RNAcentral.